Molecule: ribosomal RNA, 502 nt
Filed under: Pseudomonas sp.
Lineage: Bacteria; Pseudomonadati; Pseudomonadota; Gammaproteobacteria; Pseudomonadales; Pseudomonadaceae
Description: bacterial SSU rRNA
Rfam family: Bacterial small subunit ribosomal RNA
Source: RNAcentral
GAGCGGUAGAGAGAAGCUUGCUUCUCUUGAGAGCGGCGGACGGGUGAGUAAUGCCUAGGAAUCUGCCUGGUAGUGGGGGAUAACGUUCGGAAACGGACGCUAAUACCGCAUACGUCCUACGGGAGAAAGCAGGGGACCUUCGGGCCUUGCGCUAUCAGAUGAGCCUAGGUCGGAUUAGCUAGUUGGUGGGGUAAUGGCUCACCAAGGCGACGAUCCGUAACUGGUCUGAGAGGAUGAUCAGUCACACUGGAACUGAGACACGGUCCAGACUCCUACGGGAGGCAGCAGUGGGGAAUAUUGGACAAUGGGCGAAAGCCUGAUCCAGCCAUGCCGCGUGUGUGAAGAAGGUCUUCGGAUUGUAAAGCACUUUAAGUUGGGAGGAAGGGCAGUUACCUAAUACGUGAUUGUUUUGACGUUACCGACAGAAUAAGCACCGGCUAACUCUGUGCCAGCAGCCGCGGUAAUACAGAGGGUGCAAGCGUUAAUCGGAAUUACUGGGCGU